RNAcentral lists this ribosomal RNA (253 nucleotides) under uncultured bacterium. RNAcentral describes it as "partial 16S ribosomal RNA". It matches the Rfam family "Bacterial small subunit ribosomal RNA", at positions 524 to 776 of the family's 1533-position model. The record is from RNAcentral.
UACGUAGGGGUCGAGCGUUGUCCGGAGUUACUGGGCGUAAAGCGUGCGCAGGCGGCUCAUCGCGCUCGGCGUGAAAGCCCCCGGCUCAACCGGGGAGGGUCGUCGAGGACGGAUGGGCUUGAGGGUAUCAGGGGUUGGUGGAAUUCCCGGUGUAGUGGUGAAAUGCGUAGAGAUCGGGAGGAAUACCGGUGGCGAAGGCGGCAUCCUGGACCGACAUUGACGCUGAUGAGCGAAAGCUAGGGGAGCAAACGGG